GAGCAGUUGAGCUCCGACGACUCGAACGCCUCAGAGGAAGCGUCAGUUUGGUGAAAUGGUCCUGCUCCUCAGACACCCACAGGUGAGGUACUUCAUGGCGGUCAUGCUGACGUGCAUUAGUGGACCCAGGUUGAAGAGCAUGUGGUAGAAGGAAUGGACAGACAGGCCUCCAGUUUCAUCGGCGUAUUUCAACGCAACGAUGGGCGUGUACAGAGGGUUGGCAUCACCUCCUUGAUCAUCCGGAUCACCCCGAAGAAAUUGGUCUCAAACACUUUCUUCAUCUCGUCGAUGGGGAUGCUUUCUAUUGGACCCACGAGGCCGAUACCGGCAUUAUUGACUGGAGUGAGCGGAAAGAAAGGAGUAAAGGUCAUGAAGGAAUGGGAGAAUACUGUCUGAGACAAGAGAUUAUAGGUCCCUAAAUCAUCUGCGACUGAACUGUGACCUCUGACCCCCAUGUGAGGAGAGGAAAUACUGGAAGCUGCACAGUUUCCUCUUCAUUUUGAAAACACAUCCUCACAUUUGCUAAUCGGUGUAUUUCCUUUCAUGAAACAGUUGUGUUUUUGAUUCUCAGUUGUUAUGUCUGAAUGGGAUCCUCAUUCACCCUCCUGUGGUUCAGUUUUUUUUGUUAAAUAAUCAAAACACUACAAACAUCUGCUCAGUCAGCUUUAGAGGGAAUCACUGCUGUGGAUCCAGAUGCAACAGUGGCUUGAAUCUGCAUCAUCAUGUGUGAGCAUCUUAUGUGUACACAGUUCUAGUCGAGGAUCGGUAGUAACAGGGAACUCAUUAACAAAUCAGGUUACAAUUCAGACAAAGUUAUUACUAUGUAUACGAGUUUCU
Long non-coding RNA from Eleginops maclovinus (Patagonian blennie), 837 nucleotides. RefSeq lists it as uncharacterized. The transcript is spliced from 5 exons. The record is from RefSeq and is a predicted model, not a curated record. NCBI's taxonomy places the organism in Eukaryota, Metazoa, Chordata, Actinopteri, Perciformes, Eleginopidae.